RNAcentral lists this unclassified non-coding RNA (351 nucleotides) under Hevea brasiliensis (rubber tree). Lineage: Eukaryota; Viridiplantae; Streptophyta; Magnoliopsida; Malpighiales; Euphorbiaceae. The record is from RNAcentral.
GAGUCUCAAGUUGAACUCCAAAAGCUGGAAGAAUUAGAACAGACUCUUUCUUAACUGGCUUCUUUAGAAAUAACCUCAUAAGCAAUGUCAUGAUAACUAAGCUCCAAAUAUGAAGAGUAUCUAGCUUUCCCUGCCGGAAUAACAGAAAGGUGGGAUAGGCAAAAAGGAGAAGAGUAAAUAGGCAUAAAUUGAAACCCUUUUCUCUACUCCUUCGAACCACAAUAUGGUGAGCGUCAAUGGCUUCAGGUGGGCCUUUACCCACUUCAUGUACGUAUGUGUAUUUUCCUACUGCAAUGGCCAAUGCCUCCGCCAUGCCACUGUUACUCCGGCAUCAACGUCGACGAAUUGCAG